UCUAACAUCUUUUUUGUACCGCACAUUAGAAUCGUUUGGAUAGCUCAUUAUAACUAUCUAUGUCAUGCCCCGCGACCAACCGCCAAUUUGGACCGAGUCGCGGUGCCGCUAACAGACCGCCGAAUGGACCGGGGCUCCCCCUGUACGCAGACAGAGUCUCCCCUGUACGUUCUAGGCGUCGCAAUCCAAAGAAUCAACGAAUGUUCUAACUAGGAACGGAUAACAAUCCAGAUUGCAAAGGAAGUAUCAAAUACAUAAAACUACUGCUAUUACAAGCAUUCAUCGACUUAGAACAUCUCAGUUACAGUUUACAUUUUACUUCCAAAUUACAAUCACAUUAUAACAUCAUUUAUUUUACAAGUUUGAUACAUUUGAUUCCUUGCCUUCUAGUCCCCUAAGCUAGACUGCCUCAGGGUACUACUACCUCGGUCUCUGUGGUAGGGCGCUAUCUACUGUGUCACGCCCCGGGACCGGGGGAGGCCCUCCCGGUAGCGUGCCCAGACCCGCCAUAUGUCAACACAUAUAAGGCGUCUACAAUAAAAGCGGAAGUAAAAGCAAGUAAUAAAACAAGUAGAAGAAGUGAAAUAACUAGCAACUAAUGAUAUCAGAGCAAAUAUAGUUCUAUCAUCUAUACCAAGGUAAAGAAAUAAAGUUAGACAGUAAAAGGAAUACAAUAUCAGUCUCAAAAGUACAAGAAUGGUGGUCUCUAUACAUAUGCGGGUACAACUCUCAACCUCUCACAAAAAGAUAACACGAGAGGUAGACCACCUAUCGAACGAUCCCUCGGUAAGCACGCUAGCCCGAGGCGAUACCCUUUCCGCGAUCCCUGGCCUCUCCCUGCGUGGAAGGCUCUGAAAAACAUCGAGAAAAAGAGGGCGUGAGAACUAUAAUUUAUAGUUCCCAGUGGGCAAUUACUGACCUCAGCUCAUGCUCCACUAGGCCCCAAAAAUAAGGGUAAGCAACGAUAAUAAUAAUGAUAAGCAAUAAGGAGCAUGUAAUUAAACUGCUGAAAGAAAGCACAAUUAGAAUGCUAGUCUACGGUGUCUCAAGUAAACAUGAUGUCAACCCAAAUGUACAUCUAUCCUAUCCUUACAAUUAAGUCCAAUUGGCACUAGUUUAAUGUUGUUAACCUUCGUCAAUACAUGAUGUAGGUGUUCUAUCAUGGCAACCAAGUAUACUACAUGUCUCACACUAUGCUAAAAGCAUGUAAAUGUAAUCCAACUACUAAGUCUAUCUAGUAGUGAUCAUUCACUCUCAAACCGUGUCGAUUUCCAUUUCCAAUUAGGGACCUACCCAAGGUAGUCCAGCUUGUGCCGCCUAAGUGCCUGUGGUAGCCCAACAUCCCUACUCUUGGAAUGUGUCUGUCCCACUCGACCCCGUAGGCUUCUCAAUACCGCACGAGCGAACAUAGGUCGCAUAGGCCAACUCCGGAGUGCCGGCUUGUGGGGAGCGACCCUCACAAGCAUGUGCGAAUGAGCACAAAUGGCAAACAAGCAAGGUCAAAGUCUCAAGUACUCAAUCCUCAUGUCUCUAACAUGGUAUGGUCGCUAGUAUCCCGAAGAUCUAGUUCAAAGUCAUAAUGUGAGGUCCCAACACACACUUGCUUAGUGCCUCUUUAUGACACUUAAGCUCCACAACUAAUCAUGUUCCAAAUAGGACAUUAACAUUAAUGCUCACUAAGCCCCGGGCCCCAAUGCCUCUUCAUGACAUUGGCCCAAUCUCACAUAUCCUCUAAGUCUCUAAGCCUCUCUAGGCUUCCAAAAAUCCCUAAUGUCAUAACUGGUAUAUAGUUUGAAUGCAUGAAAGCAAGGUUCGUUUUCAUAAUAGGGAUUGUAAUUUCAAGUCUCAACUAGAAUGCUAGGCCACACAUGCAUGCUCUCUACUAUAUAGAGGUCCCAAAAUUUACUACACAUAACCUAUGCAUGUUAAGCAUUCUAAAAUUCAUAAUAAAUACAUUUAACAUGAAAAUGCAAGAAUUUCAACUUUACGAAACAUUUAACACCAAAUAUGAGCAUUUCUCAUAUUGUAUGCUAGGCCAAACCCACCGAACCGUCGCGUGCUCCUUCGAUUCGUCGAACGGAGUUGUCCACGAGCCUCAAGAUACCCUAAAAGUGAUCAGCGAAGAGAUACGAGAGUAUUACGACCAACCGUAAGAUCACACAUUAACCUAGAAGCAAAAAGGGUCAACAUUUACCUCAAGAGUAGAAAUCUCUCCCAAAGCUCCAAAAGAGAGCUAGAACCCUUCCAAUCCAAGCCCUAGGAAGGUUCUAAUCCAAUCAAUUUAGCCCCAAAAGCCCUAGAUCAAAAAUGCCCAAAAUCAAACCCUAAAUCUCAUUUCUAGGGUUAAAACAAGCAAAAAGCUCCAAAACUAAGAUCUAGAGGGAGGAACCUUGCCACAUACCUCUAGGAUGCUCCAAUCCAAGCUCAAAAUCUUCUAGGGUUGAAGAUUGAUCCACCACAAAGCUCCAAAAGCAAGCUCCAAGCCUCCAAAGGUGGGAAAUAAGGAAGAAGAUGGUGCUCCAAGCAAGCUCUUCUCCUCUUCUUCUCCUUCUUCUCCUUCUCCCUCUCUUCUUCUCUCUCUAGAAUGCAAAGGGUUGAGAGAAAAUGAGAGUGAGAGGAGAGGAGAGGCUGCCUAUAGCCUCUAAGGUAACAAAAUCCAGUUAGGCCCCUCAAAAACCCAAAAUUACAUCAGCCCGGACUGGGCAGUUUUCGCCCAGAGGGACCGGUCUCUCCCCAGCAGGGACCGGUCUCUCGCUGCGAACCCGAAAAACCAGCGUUCGGGAACCGGUCUCUCCCUGCGCGGGACCGGUCUCUCACUGCGAAGACGCGUUCGGGAACCGGUCUCGCCUGCCAGGGACCGGUUGCCUCAGGCUGCCUCAACACUGCUCACUGAGGGGACCGGUCUCUCCUUCCAGGGACCGGUCCCCGAGAGUGAAAACUCUCAGGACUUGUCCAGAAUUCCAGUUUUCGAACUUUUCGGGUCGGGGAACAUUUUACAACCCUCCACCAAGUGUGGAAAAGCUCGAAAUACAACCAAACACUCGAACCUCGCAAUUUACAAAGGUCCAGUGUGUUACAUACUGAGCUACGCCCUCGCCUCGCGCCACCGCGCAGCACACGUACAACCUGAAAAC
This 3134-nucleotide long non-coding RNA is filed under the name Ananas comosus (pineapple). Its description in RNAcentral is "long non-coding RNA (ACOM_LNC034653)". Lineage: Eukaryota; Viridiplantae; Streptophyta; Magnoliopsida; Poales; Bromeliaceae. The record is from RNAcentral.